RNAcentral lists this long non-coding RNA (244 nucleotides) under Homo sapiens (human). RNAcentral describes it as "LHRI_LNC2013.1". The record is from RNAcentral. Lineage: Eukaryota; Metazoa; Chordata; Mammalia; Primates; Hominidae.
UGUCGCCCAGGCUGCAGUGGCGUGAUCUCGGCUCACUGCAAGCUCCACCUCCCAAGUUCACGCCAUUCUCCUGCCUCAGCCUCCUGAGUAGCUGGGACUACAGGUGCCUGCCACCACACCCGGGUAAUUUUUUGUAUUUUUUAGUAGAGACAGGGUUUCACCGUGUUAGCCAGGAUGGUCUCGAUCUCCUGACCUUGUGAUCCACCCACCUCGGCCUCCCAAAGUGCUGGGAUUACAGGUGUGA